This 747-nucleotide ribosomal RNA is filed under the name Etheria elliptica. Its description in RNAcentral is "eukaryotic LSU rRNA". The stretch from base 453 to 747 matches the Rfam family "Eukaryotic large subunit ribosomal RNA", at positions 665 to 914 of the family's 3401-position model. Lineage: Eukaryota; Metazoa; Mollusca; Bivalvia; Unionida; Etheriidae. The record is from RNAcentral.
AAACCGCCCAGAGGUAAACGGGUGGGACCACAAUGCGGUCGGCCCGGGGAAUUCAACCGGCCGGAAAGCGGCGCGGGCGGGAUGCCGCGGAGCCGUCGAGGCCCGCGCGACUCGUCUCCGAGCGCCGCCCGGGUCGGUGCACUUUCUCCGGGUCGACGGUCACGGCCGGCUCUCCGGCGGCCAGAAGCCAUGUUCGGGGGAAGGUGGACUCGAGCUCACGCUCGAGGAGCUUACAGCCCUCUGCAUGCGCAGGCCCGUCGGAGGGCCGAGGAAGGGAAUCGUUCGCCGCGCCCCAACCGCUCUUCGGGCUACCCGCGUCCGGCACGACCGGGCUGGACUGGCUCGUCCAGUGCUCUCCCGACCGCGGGCACGGGCGGGUUCGAUGCAGCGAGGGGCGCCGACGGCCCGUGACGAAUCGGUUGGCAACCCACCCGACCCGUCUUGAAACACGGACCAAGGAGUCUAACAUGUGCGCGAGUCGAUGGGAUCCGUACGAAACCCACAGGCGCAAUGAAAGUGAAGGCCGCCCUCCUCUCGGGGAGGGUGCCUAGGUACGAUCCCCCGUCCGCUAGCGCGGCGGAGGCGCAGUACCGGCCCGUCUCGUCCGCACCCGUCGGUGAGGCGGAGCAAGAGCGUACACGUUGGGACCCGAAAGAUGGUGAACUAUGCUUGAGUAGGACGAAGCCAGAGGAAACUCUGGUGGAGGUCCGUAGCGAUUCUGACGUGCAAAUCGAUCGUCAAACUCGA